UGCAAAGUCCAAGAUCAAGGUGUCAGCCAACUGGUUCUUGAUGAGUUGAUGAACUGCCUUCUCUCUUUGUCCCCAUAUGGAGAGAGAUAACUCUAGCCUCUCUUCUUCAACGGGCACUCAUCCCACCAAGGGGACCCCACCCUUGUGACCUCAUCUACACCUAUAAUCCUCUCAAGUGCCUACCUCCGAACUCCAUCACAUGUUGUUGUCUCUCAUUGGCCAAACCCAACUAGCAACUAAGGACAAGGGACCCUGGAUACUGCAGUCCUUGGGAGUCAGCCCUGCAGACCGCAGAGAAGGGUAGAAAAUGGAGAAGGGGCUGCCAGAGCAAACGAUCACAAACGCGAUGGCUUAAAACCACAGAAGUUAUUCUCUCACAGUUCUGGAAGCUGGAUGUCGGAAAUCAAGGGCCAUCUUUCCUCUGAAGACUCCAGGGAAAAAUCCUUCCUUGCCUCUUCCUAGCUGUUGGUGGUUUCUGGUGAUCCUUGGUGUCUUUCCCUUGGCUCGCCAUUGGAUCACUAGGAUCUCUUUCUCUGUUUUCACACUUCUCUCCGUUUCUCUGUGUGUCUUGUCUUCUUAUUAGGACACCAGUCAUUGGAGUUAGGGCCCUCCCUAAACCAGUAUGACUUUAUAAUUUAUUAACGUCUGCAGAGACCCUGUUUCCCAACAAGGUCACAUUCUAAAGUUGUGAGUGGAUGUGAAUUUGGGGGCGUACACUCUUCAACCCACUACACAAUUAAACUCAUUUUUUUCAGUGGAGGAGAAAGAGUCAGAAAGGUGAAGUUACCCAGGUCACUGUUAGAAAGUUGUAGAGCUGAGGGUACAUGCGUAUUCUUAACCAUUAACUAACCAAAAUGUCUUCCUUCUUCCCAUCUGCCUGCCCCUCUCUGCCCCUACCUUUGUGCUUUCGUUAUUUGCUCAUUCAAGGAUACUUUGGAGUUAGUUUAUCUUAAUUUCAGUGGACGAAAAUGACUGGGAUGGUUGGCU
Molecule: long non-coding RNA, 987 nt
Organism: Lontra canadensis (Northern American river otter)
Lineage: Eukaryota; Metazoa; Chordata; Mammalia; Carnivora; Mustelidae
Exons: 3
Source: RefSeq, a predicted model, not a curated record